CCUUAGUAGCGGCGAGUGAAGCGGCAAAGCUCAAAUUUGAAAUCUGGCACUUUCAGUGUCCGAGUUGUAAUUUGAAGAAGGUAUCUUUGGGUCUGGCUCUUGUCUAUGUUUCUUGGAACAGAACGUCACAGAGGGUGAGAAUCCCGUGCGAUGAGAUGUCCCAGACCUAUGUAAAGUUCCUUCGAAGAGUCGAGUUGUUUGGGAAUGCAGCUCUAAGUGGGUGGUAAAUUCCAUCUAAAGCUAAAUAUUGGCGAGAGACCGAUAGCGAACAAGUACAGUGAUGGAAAGAUGAAAAGAACUUUGAAAAGAGAGUGAAAAAGUACGUGAAAUUGUUGAAAGGGAAGGGCUUGAGAUCAGACUUGGUAUUUUGUAUGUUACUCUCUCGGGGGUGGCCUCUACAGUUUACCGGGCCAGCAUCAGUUUGAGCGGUAGGAUAAGUGCAAAGAAAUGUGGCACUGCUUCGGUAGUGUGUUAUAGUCUUUGUCGAUACUGCCAGCUUAGACUGAGGACUGCGGCUUCGGCCUAGGAUGUUGGCAUAAUGAUCUUAAGUCGCCCGUCUUGAACCA
This 566-nucleotide ribosomal RNA is filed under the name Lodderomyces parapsilosis. Its description in RNAcentral is "Candida parapsilosis partial large subunit ribosomal RNA". It matches the Rfam family "Eukaryotic large subunit ribosomal RNA", at positions 78 to 661 of the family's 3401-position model. The record is from RNAcentral. Lineage: Eukaryota; Fungi; Ascomycota; Pichiomycetes; Serinales; Debaryomycetaceae.